RNAcentral lists this transfer RNA (79 nucleotides) under Mesorhizobium phage Cp1R7A-A1. RNAcentral describes it as "tRNA-Arg". It matches the Rfam family "tRNA". From Rfam's summary of the family: Transfer RNA (tRNA) molecules are approximately 80 nucleotides in length. Lineage: Duplodnaviria; Heunggongvirae; Uroviricota; Caudoviricetes. The record is from RNAcentral.
CCUUCCGUAGCUCAGUCGGAACCAGAGCGCCGCCGUCCGAAGGCGAAGGUCGCCGGUUCGAGCCCGGCCGGAAGGUCCA